GAGAGAGAGAGAGAGAGAGGUUUUCAUACUUUCAAAUGGCAAUAACUUCAGUUGCCUAGGCUUUCUGCGAUGAAGAUCAUGAUAUUUAUGAAAUCCCACCUUCCUGAUUUCGAUUUGUUCACGAGCGUGGUGUUCAUCUUGUGAAUUCUUUUUUACAUUUUCCUUAGCAGUUGUUAUAAUUAUAAACAGAAGUGCAAUAUGAAAAGGAAAGAUCAAGAAAUUGGAUCAUCAAAA
Molecule: unclassified non-coding RNA, 234 nt
Filed under: Hevea brasiliensis (rubber tree)
Lineage: Eukaryota; Viridiplantae; Streptophyta; Magnoliopsida; Malpighiales; Euphorbiaceae
Source: RNAcentral